This 1329-nucleotide long non-coding RNA is filed under the name Salmo trutta (river trout). RNAcentral describes it as "lncRNA (ENSSTUG00000002067.1)". Lineage: Eukaryota; Metazoa; Chordata; Actinopteri; Salmoniformes; Salmonidae. The record is from RNAcentral.
GUGGGAAACAUGAGGAGAGAAAGAGAGAGAGAGAGAAGCAGGGGGAGCGAGAGAGAGAGAGCAAGGGGCAAGAAAGAAAGAGAGAGGCAGGAGAAAAAGAGAGAGGAGGUGGAGAGAGAGGAGGUGGAGAGAGAGGAGGUGGAGAGAGUAUGCAGUGAGUCAGACUAGAGGUGGACGCCACAUUUAGUUUUUUUGUGUUGGGUCUCCACUCCUCCAAGCUUCCACUCUGCCAGCAGGCUAACCGGCUAGUAUCUCUGGAGUGUGUAUUUACUGCAUGUGACUAACUGGUGUUUCUGCUUUGAACAGACUUCAAGAAGCAGCUAACGGGACGGAUGUUCUGCAACUUGACUAACUCUGGUGUGUGUGUGUGUGUGUGUGUGUGUGUGUGUGUGUGUGUGUGUGUGUGUGUGUGUGUGUAUGUGUGUGUGUGUGUGUGUGUGUGUGUGUGUGUGUGUGUGUGUGUGUGUGUGUGUGUGUGUGUGUGUGUGUGUGUGUGUGUGUGUGUGUGUGUGUGUGUGUGUGUGUGUGUGUGAGAGUAUGUGUGUGUGUGUGCGUGUGCGUGUGUGUGUGUGUUCCUACAGACUUUGAAGAGCAGCUGUAUGACACCAAGUUAACAGGCCAGACGUUCCGCCACCCCACAGUGUCGUCCCAGAGUUCUGACGAUACGUCCACCACCCUGAGUCGUUCCCCUGUCUCCCUCAACAACAAGAGACCUGAAUUCAUCUUCCUGCCGGCGUCUAAGGGGCAGGUGUGUGAGGAGGAUGAGACCUCCUCAGUAGGAAUCAAUAGGGGUGUAGACACGUUCCCCUCUCCAUCACCCUGUGGGUCAGAUCGCCCUCUGGUGGUGUGGAGUAGUACCUCUCUAGGACCCCCCGUGGCCGAGAAACCCCGCUGGCACCUGGGACAACGGACACCCGCUCACCUGCUGCCCCUCGACGUCACAGGUGAGGGUAAAAUCCUGGGCGUAGACCUCCUCCAGGGCUCCUGUUCCCCCUCUCUGUCCCUGGGCUGCGGCGUCACCGGUCAGCCCCGGUCUCUGGAGCCCAUCUCAGACACCCCUGUCCAGCACCUUACCCUGAGGAAGACCCACAGUGACCUGGACCCCAGCCUCAGCCUGCCCCAGUCCCCCCGGACGCCCCCUCCUACCAUGGGCACCAUGGACCACUCUGCUACCCUUCUCUGCUCCAACUCCCCGUCUCAGUCCUGGAAUGGCCCUAAAGGCUCUACCUUCUCUCCUGGUGUCUGGAGUGAGGCCUAUAGUUAUAAUUUAGCUCCCAAUCCGCUAGGGAAGGGACCGACGACCAUGCCCAAAACGGUGGGGAUGGUUGG